AGAAACUUCAGUUAUAUUAUAGGUAAUAAAAAGUCAUAAAAUUGUGGUAAGGUAUAGCUCAGUGGAUGAGCAAUUGCCCAGCAUGUGCAAGGUGCUGAGUUUCCUGCUCAAUACCAUAAAAAACAAGAGUAAUAAAAUGUAAUGUUUACAUUACCCACAGUAUUUCUCAGUAAAAUACUUCUUUAAAGUAUCAAAAUACUUCAAAGAAAUUUUUAAGACUAAAAUAAACAGGGACUGGGAAUGUGAUUUAGUGGUACAGUACUUGCCAAGCAUACAUGAAGCCCCAGGUUCAAUUCCUCAGUACCACAAAACCAAAAUAAAAUAAACAGAAACCAUAAGCAAAACCUUUGAACAUAAAGCAAAAAGAACAACCAAAUUAUGAUUGGUAAGUCUUAGGCUUCUAUCCCAGUACAACAAAUUGAAAAUUGUAUGUAGCAUAUAAAAAUUCCCUUCUAAUGCUCAGCUGAAAAGAAACAUAAGAAAGAACUAAUCUACCCACAGAAACAAGGGCCAGAGCCAGGGGUGUCUGACAGGCCCUGGUCACUUAGGACAGAGAACAGCAUCUUCCUGCCAUAUACCAGAGAGGAAAUUACCUUAGGCUUUGCAUGUCUCAAAGA
This is a long non-coding RNA of Perognathus longimembris pacificus (Pacific pocket mouse), 617 nucleotides long. RefSeq lists it as uncharacterized. The transcript is spliced from 3 exons. Lineage: Eukaryota; Metazoa; Chordata; Mammalia; Rodentia; Heteromyidae. The record is from RefSeq and is a predicted model, not a curated record.